Molecule: transfer RNA, 70 nt
Filed under: Rhynochetos jubatus (kagu)
Lineage: Eukaryota; Metazoa; Chordata; Aves; Eurypygiformes; Rhynochetidae
Rfam family: tRNA
About the family: Transfer RNA (tRNA) molecules are approximately 80 nucleotides in length.
Source: Rfam by way of RNAcentral
ACUCUAAUAGUUUAACAUAAAACAUUGGUCUUGUAAGCCAAAACUGAAGACUACCACCCUUCUUAGAGUU